RNAcentral lists this ribosomal RNA (745 nucleotides) under uncultured bacterium. RNAcentral describes it as "bacterial SSU rRNA". It matches the Rfam family "Bacterial small subunit ribosomal RNA", at positions 57 to 803 of the family's 1533-position model. The record is from RNAcentral.
GCAGUCGAACGAAGCACCUUGAUUUGAUUCUUCGGAUGAAGGUCUUGGUGACUGAGUGGCGGACGGGUGAGUAACGCGUGGGUAACCUGCCUCAUACAGGGGGAUAACAGUUAGAAAUGACUGCUAAUACCGCAUAAGACCACAGCACCGCAUGGUGCAGGGGUAAAAACUCCGGUGGUAUGAGAUGGACCCGCGUCUGAUUAGGUAGUUGGUGGGGUAACGGCCUACCAAGCCGACGAUCAGUAGCCGACCUGAGAGGGUGACCGGCCACAUUGGGACUGAGACACGGCCCAAACUCCUACGGGAGGCAGCAGUGGGGAAUAUUGCACAAUGGGGGAAACCCUGAUGCAGCGACGCCGCGUGAGUGAAGAAGUAUCUCGGUAUGUAAAGCUCUAUCAGCAGGGAAGAAAAUGACGGUACCUGACUAAGAAGCCCCGGCUAACUACGUGCCAGCAGCCGCGGUAAUACGUAGGGGGCAAGCGUUAUCCGGAUUUACUGGGUGUAAAGGGAGCGUAGACGGCGGAGCAAGUCUGAAGUGAAAGCCCGGGGCUCAACCCCGGGACUGCUUUGGAAACUGUUCUGCUAGAGUGCUGGAGAGGUAAGUGGAAUUCCUAGUGUAGCGGUGAAAUGCGUAGAUAUUAGGAGGAACACCAGUGGCGAAGGCGGCUUACUGGACAGUAACUGACGUUGAGGCUCGAAAGCGUGNGGAGCAAACAGGANUAGAUACCCUGGUAGUCCACGCCGU